UGGGGAAUAUUGCACAAUGGGCGCAAGCCUGAUGCAGCCAUGCCGCGUGUAUGAAGAAGGCCUUCGGGUUGUAAAGUACUUUCAGCGGUGAGGAAGGUAGUAAAGUUAAUACCUUUGCCCAUUGACGUUACCCGCAUAAGAAGCACCGGCUAACUCCGUGCCAGCAGCCGCGGUAAUACGGAGGGUGCAAGCGUUAUUCGGAAUUACUGGGCGUAAAGCGCACGCAGGCGGUUUGUUAAUUCAGAUGUGAAAUCCCCGGGCUCAACCUGGGAACUGCCUCUGAUACUGGCAAGCUUGAGUCUCGUAGAGGGGGGUAGAAUUCGAGGUGUAGCGGUGAAAUGCGUAGAGAUCUGGAGGAAUACCGGUGGCGAAGGCGGCCCCCUGGACGAAGACUGACGCUCAGGUGCGAAAGCGUGGGGAGCAAACAGG
RNAcentral lists this ribosomal RNA (429 nucleotides) under Chloroflexota bacterium. RNAcentral describes it as "Chloroflexi bacterium partial 16S ribosomal RNA". It matches the Rfam family "Bacterial small subunit ribosomal RNA", at positions 355 to 776 of the family's 1533-position model. The record is from RNAcentral. Lineage: Bacteria; Bacillati; Chloroflexota.